Molecule: ribosomal RNA, 253 nt
Filed under: uncultured bacterium
Lineage: Bacteria
Description: partial 16S ribosomal RNA
Rfam family: Bacterial small subunit ribosomal RNA
Source: RNAcentral
GACAGAGGGGGCAAGCGUUGCUCGGAAUUACUGGGCGUAAAGGGCGCGUAGGCGGGAUGGCAAGUCGGUCGUGAAAUCCCUCGGCUCAACCGAGGAACGUCGAUCGAUACUGCUGUUCUUGAGGAUUGCAGAGGAGACUGGAAUUCCCGGUGUAGCGGUGAAAUGUGUAGAGAUCGGGAGGAACACCGGUGGCGAAGGCGGGUCUCUGGGCAAUGCCUGACGCUGAGGCGCGAAAGCGUGGGGAGCAAACGGG